CCUACGGGUGGCAGCAGUGAGGAAUAUUGGUCAAUGGCCGAGAGGCUGAACCAGCCAAGUCGCGUGAGGGAAGACGGCCCUUCGGGUUGUAAACCUCUUUUGUCGGGGAGCAAAGCGAGUCACGUGUGACUCAUUGAGAGUACCCGACGAAAAAGCAUCGGCUAACGCCGUGCCAGCAGCCGCGGUCAUACGGAGGAUGCGAGCGUUAUCCGGAUUUAUUGGGUUUAAAGGGGGGGCAGUCGGAGGUGAAAGUCAGCGGUAAAAUUGCGGGGCUCAACCCCGUACUGCCGUUGAAACUGCAUCGCUUGAGUGAGGGAGAGGUAGGCGGAAUGCGUGGUGUAGCGGUGAAAUGCAUAGAUAUCACGCAGAACACCGAUUGCGAAGGCAGCAUACCGGCGAGCAACUGACGCUCAUGCACGAAAGCGUGGGUAUCGAACAGGAUUAGAUACCCGAGUAGUC
This 459-nucleotide ribosomal RNA is filed under the name uncultured bacterium. Its description in RNAcentral is "partial 16S ribosomal RNA". It matches the Rfam family "Bacterial small subunit ribosomal RNA", at positions 338 to 795 of the family's 1533-position model. The record is from RNAcentral.